RNAcentral lists this transfer RNA (77 nucleotides) under Alphaproteobacteria bacterium. Its description in RNAcentral is "tRNA-Pro". It matches the Rfam family "tRNA". From Rfam's summary of the family: Transfer RNA (tRNA) molecules are approximately 80 nucleotides in length. RNAcentral also lists the same sequence under 1 other name. Lineage: Bacteria; Pseudomonadati; Pseudomonadota; Alphaproteobacteria. The record is from RNAcentral.
CGGAAUGUGGCGCAGCCUGGUAGCGCACUUGCAUGGGGUGCAAGGGGUCGCAGGUUCAAAUCCUGUCAUUCCGACCA